GGAAACGGUAGCUAAUACCGCAUAACGUCGCAAGACCAAAGAGGGGGACCUUCGGGCCUCUUGCCAUCGGAUGUGCCCAGAUGGGAUUAGCUAGUAGGUGGGGUAACGGCUCACCUAGGCGACGAUCCCUAGCUGGUCUGAGAGGAUGACCAGCCACACUGGAACUGAGACACGGUCCAGACUCCUACGGGAGGCAGCAGUGGGGAAUAUUGCACAAUGGGCGCAAGCCUGAUGCAGCCAUGCCGCGUGUAUGAAGAAGGCCUUCGGGUUGUAAAGUACUUUCAGCGGGGAGGAAGGGAGUAAAGUUAAUACCUUUGCUCAUUGACGUUACCCGCAGAAGAAGCACCGGCUAACUCCGUG
Molecule: ribosomal RNA, 360 nt
Filed under: uncultured bacterium
Lineage: Bacteria
Description: bacterial SSU rRNA
Rfam family: Bacterial small subunit ribosomal RNA
Source: RNAcentral